GAGAGCUCAAAAUUUGAAUAGCGUGAGCAUGAAAAAAAAAAGAAAAAAUGUAUUGCUAUUCGUGCGCCCUCCUCUUUCCUCUCCCCGUCGACACACUCCUCCUCCAUCCCUCCCUCUUAGAUAUUUCUCCAUGAGCCCCCUAGUCUCGCUCUCUCUCUCUUUUUCCUCUCUCUCUCAGUCGCUCUCUGUCGUCUCACUUUCUCUCUCCUCCCACCUCUGCACACACACACACACACACACACACACACACAUACACACCCACCCCGGAGUCCUUCCCACUCCUUCCCCUCACGCGCGCUUUCUAUCCACUUCCAAGCUCGGUUUUAUUCCUCCUUUUUUCUUUUACUCGCCACUCUUUGCCUGGGUCGCGUCCUCGUGUUCGGAGGCGCCGUCACCCCUCCCCUGCAUGGCGCCCCUGAGAAAACGCAGGCCAUGGAUUGUCCCCGCCUAAUGACAAACUGCUUGUCCUUUCCCGUCAGCGUUUUUUUUCUAUUCUUUUGCAGUAAUUUUUUUGUCAGAGCUUGACCUCUGUUGAGAAAACCCUCUUUUUAUUUUUCAAAAAAAGCAUUUAUGAAGCAGGAAAUGAGGGCUGAAGAAAAGGAAAAGAGUGUCAGAUGAAUGGACAGAGAAAGGGGGACAGAGGCAAAGAAUGAGAGAAUGGAGAGCGUGGUCUGCGAGAGAAAGAGAGAGAGAGAGAGAGAGGUGGGAGAAAGAGUGCCGGUGCUGGCAAGAAAAACAGGAGGGGGAAGAGCAGAGAAGGGGGACCAGUAGGGGAUAAACUUUGGAAGGAGGGACGGCCGGAUAGGAAUCGUCCAAAUCGCAGGGAAAAAGAGGGAAAAGAACAAAACUCUAGAAUGAGAAGAAGCUGGACUUCAUUUCUUUGCGGUCGUAUAUUUUUUUUUCUGGCUCCUUGACAUGAUUUUUCAUCACUUCUCCGAUCACCCUCUCAUUCCUCUGUUGAGGUUCUGAGAGAAGACGUUUUUUAUCAGGAUUGGAUCCAGUCUGUUUUGUACAGAUGUGCAACGCUACGUGUCGCGGUGGACUGCAGCGGCAUCGAUAAAAAAAAACAAUGAUCGGAGUAAAUCUACAAAGCAGUUUCCACUGCAUGAACUCGUCAACCUUUCCAGACAUAACGGAGAGCCAAAAGGAGACUCGGUUCUCUGGAGGGGGCAGUUCCUUUUGGCCAGCUUUGUGAGCUGAACACUUGAACGGUUCAAUUAAAAGACAGCCAAGGUUCGUGACCCCGAUGUAUGAUGCACAAGUUUCAUAAUCUGUUCACAGUCACUGAAAACAUCCAAGACCUGCAGUCAAGAGACAGUCAUCCCCUCGCUGCCUUUUCAUUUGUAGUCUUCCUAAUGCUGCGCAAUGCACCUGAAAAUAUUUGUUCCCUUAAAAUAAUAAAAUAAAUAAAAUAAUAAAAGUGGUGAAAAGUUGUUGUUUUGUUGAAUACCAUGUACAUCCAAUAAAUACUGAAAAUGUUGUUUUGAAACCUGAUUGGAUGCUUUUACUUGUGUUUGUGGUAUGUAAGCAGCAUAGGAUACAUUUUUCCUCACGCAGUCAGCAGUUUAUUGUGUGGUAAACAUUUAAGAACAGCGUGACAAUCAUCAGCGUUUGAAAUUAGGCACCUACAGAAAACACAUAACUCUUCGACAUAUUUUAUUCACGAAGCCGCAGAGGGAGCAGUUUUCAGGUGAUUGAAUGAGAGUGACGUGGUGCUCUUUCAAACUCGGCCAAGGUGGCUCAGUGUUCCCUGGCUCUCUGCCCCCUCCAUGUUUGCG
This is a long non-coding RNA of Gasterosteus aculeatus aculeatus (three-spined stickleback), 1778 nucleotides long. Lineage: Eukaryota; Metazoa; Chordata; Actinopteri; Perciformes; Gasterosteidae. The record is from Ensembl.